RNAcentral lists this ribosomal RNA (253 nucleotides) under uncultured Eubacteriales bacterium. Its description in RNAcentral is "uncultured Clostridiales bacterium partial 16S ribosomal RNA". It matches the Rfam family "Bacterial small subunit ribosomal RNA", at positions 524 to 776 of the family's 1533-position model. The record is from RNAcentral. Lineage: Bacteria; Bacillati; Bacillota; Clostridia; Eubacteriales.
UACGGAGGAUCCGAGCGUUAUCCGGAUUUACUGGGUGUAAAGGGAGCGUAGACGGUUGUAUAAGUCUGGAGUGAAAGCCCGGGGCCCAACCCCGGGACUGCUUUGGAAACUGUGUAACUUGAGUACAGGAGGGGCAGGCGGAAUUCCUGGUGUAGCGGUGAAAUGCGUAGAUAUCAGGAGGAACACCGGUGGCGAAGGCGGCCUGCUGGACAGUAACUGACGUUGAGGCUCGAAAGCGUGGGGAGCAAACAGG